Molecule: small nucleolar RNA, 144 nt
Filed under: Muntiacus reevesi (Reeves' muntjac)
Lineage: Eukaryota; Metazoa; Chordata; Mammalia; Artiodactyla; Cervidae
Also listed under: 2 other names
Description: Small nucleolar RNA U109
Rfam family: Small nucleolar RNA U109
Source: Rfam by way of RNAcentral
UUGCCUAAUGAAAUCAGUGUUUUACUCUUCUAUUAAAGAAAUUGACUGUGUGGAUAGCAUGCUAUGUACAAUAAAUGAGAAGGUAUUUUUAGGGCUGCUGACUUUUUAGUUGAGGUUAUGUGGCAGUGUAUUUCUUCUACAUUA